UACGUAGGGCGCAAGCGUUGUCCGGAAUUAUUGGGCGUAAAGAGCUCGUAGGCGGCCAGUUGCGUCUGCUGUGAAAUCCCGGGGCUCAACCCCGGGCGUGCAGUGGAUACGGGCUGGCUAGAGGCAGGCAGGGGAGAACGGAAUUCCCGGUGUAGCGGUGAAAUGCGCAGAUAUCAGGAGGAACACCGGUGGCGAAGGCGGUUCUCUGGGCCUGUACUGACGCUGAGGAGCGAAAGCGUGGGGAGCGAACAGG
RNAcentral lists this ribosomal RNA (253 nucleotides) under uncultured bacterium. Its description in RNAcentral is "partial 16S ribosomal RNA". It matches the Rfam family "Bacterial small subunit ribosomal RNA", at positions 524 to 776 of the family's 1533-position model. The record is from RNAcentral.